UGUGUAGGCCAACCUCAUCUC
RNAcentral lists this non-coding RNA (21 nucleotides) under Caenorhabditis elegans. The record is from RNAcentral. Lineage: Eukaryota; Metazoa; Nematoda; Chromadorea; Rhabditida; Rhabditidae.